CGUGUAGGCGGUUUCUUAAGUCUGAUGUGAAAGCCCUGGGCUCAACCCAGGAAGUGCAUUGGAUACUGGGAGACUUGAAUACGGGAGAGGGUAGUGGAAUUCCUAGUGUAGGAGUGAAAUCCGUAGAUAUUAGGAGGAACACCGGUGGCGAAGGCGGCUACCUGGACCGAUAUUGACGCUGAGACGCGAAAGCGUGGGGAGCAAACAGGAUUAGAUACCCUGGUAGUCCACGCCGUAAACGAUGAGAGCUAGGUGUUGCGGGUAUUGACCCCUGCAGUGCCGCAGCUAACGCAUUAAGUUCUCCGCCUGGGGAGUACGGUCGCAAGACUAAA
RNAcentral lists this ribosomal RNA (332 nucleotides) under uncultured bacterium. RNAcentral's name for it is "bacterial SSU rRNA". It matches the Rfam family "Bacterial small subunit ribosomal RNA", at positions 568 to 898 of the family's 1533-position model. The record is from RNAcentral.